CUGCAUCACAAGCUGCAAGGCUCAAGUGCUUGGCUUGCUAACUUCACUUUGCUGAUUGACUACCUGAGACCACCUCCAAGCCGUGUGCCUAACCUGUGUCCUGCCCCUACUGCUGCUUCUCCCUUGCCUGCUCCAGCCUUUGCUUGUCCUACCUCCUUGCAUUCCUGUCCGACACCCCUACCUGCUUUGUCCCUGCCUACCUUGUUCCUGCUUGAGCCACAUGCUUCCAGCCCUGCUUUGCUGAUCCAGCCUGCCGCCACCAUACUGCUGCCACCCUGUCCAGGAUUCUGCACCUCCUGCCCAAGCACCCACUCGCCUCGUGUCUGGCUGCCCAUCGAUGCAGGAGGGGUGCCUUUGAAGCUGCGUUGCUCCGACAGCGGCAGAGGCUGCCCAGCAAGGCAGCGUGCACACACCCCCUACUGCUUGGAUGUCGAUGGCGCACUCCGAAGUUCUGGUGUGCUGAAAGAGAGAGAACAAAGAGAGCAGAGUUAUCAUAGACUGAACAGCCAUCUGAUGCCAGAACAUAAAGGGGCAAACCAAUCACUCGCUGCCCCAGAGACUGACGGAACUGAACACCAAUGAGGACCCGAGCAAUGGGCCAUCAGAGGGAGGAUGUGAGCUGCACCAAUCAAAACAUCAAGAGAGACUAUAAAAACUGCCCUGGGGCUCAGUUCCCGGGGGGGUCUUCCUGAGGAACUUGAGUCCGAGGAAAUGCCCUCCACGUCGCAAUGUUUGUUUUUUUCUGGGUUGUCGAGUGGGACUUGGGCUUACCUGGUCUCCGUCCCAGGUUUUCUUUUUAAUAAACGAGCAGAAUUUUACUCCACUGAAAAAGUCCAAGCCUCGUUUAUAACACGUUCUUCCUGGGCAAUUAUUACCAAAGAUGUUCUGUAAGGCCUUCCAGGAGAUUCUGAGCCUUGGGGGCCGUGCACACGUAAGUCAUGAAUAUUUCCUUCCCAGAAGAGCUGCUCAGCUGAAGAGCUGCCCGUGUUAACUCCUAGCUGUGGGAACCUACGCCUUUGUGUGUGUCCCAUGGCAGUACCUCGUGGUGUCUGAGGACAAGCAAGAGGGAGCUCAGGGCCUCUGGAGGACUGCUGGAGGGAUCUGGGGCACACGGAGUAUUUUCUUCUG
RNAcentral lists this long non-coding RNA (1128 nucleotides) under Corvus moneduloides (New Caledonian crow). RNAcentral's name for it is "lncRNA (ENSCMUG00000017082.1)". The record is from RNAcentral. Lineage: Eukaryota; Metazoa; Chordata; Aves; Passeriformes; Corvidae.